RNA transcript from Hylaeus anthracinus, 1832 nucleotides. It is a transcript of the gene named DNA-directed RNA polymerase II subunit Rpb4, with no coding region annotated. The record is from RefSeq and is a predicted model, not a curated record. The transcript is spliced from 3 exons. NCBI's taxonomy places the organism in Eukaryota, Metazoa, Arthropoda, Insecta, Hymenoptera, Colletidae.
UGAGGUACACCAGUUACAGGAAGCUGCAGCCAGCAUGUUCGUUUGUUAAUAGUAAAUGUUUACGAGUUUUUCGUGAAAUACUUUAAGAAUAUAUAAAGCACCAUGGCCAAUCCAAAUUUGACGGAUAUGACAGAGGAAGAUGCGGCUGACCUACAGUUUCCAAAAGACUGCUCAUCGAGUAGAACAGAAACAAUCGAGAACGAUGUAGAUCUCGACGUGACAGUCGUGAAGGAUGAAAUCAUUACUUCAGACCCAUCAUGCCGUGUAUGCAAAUCUAUUUUGACGGAGCCAUACAUUCGUUGCGCCGUGUGUAAUAACACAGAAUUGUGUCCCUCUUGUUUCUCCACUGGAUCCGAAAUCGAUGAUCACAGAAACGAUCACGACUAUAUUAUAAUAAAGAACGAAUUCCCUUUGAUUCACGGAAGUGGUUGGACGGCAAAGCAAGAAUUAGAAUUUCUAGAUGUCUUACAGGAAUGUGGUUUUGGUAAUUGGGUAGAUAUGUCGAAAAGAAUGCAAGGGAAGUCGGCGGAGGAAUGUAAAAAUCAUUAUCUUCAGAAUUAUAUCGAUAACCAAGCUUUCCCCGGAUUGCCGAUAAUCAAAGAAACGAAAGCGAGUUUGUUCGGUUGCGAGUCUGCACCUUAUUUAUAUAAAUUACAAGAUUUGGAAGAACCACCGCGGUUCGCGCCCAAUACACUUAAUUGUAAGCUUUUGGCCGGAUAUAAUCCGGCGAGAUCAGACUUCGAAAUAAAUUUCGAUAACCACGCGGAAUUGUUAAUUUCUGAUUUGAAUUACGACGAGUUUGAUUCAAGCGAUGAUAAUUAUCGGCUAGGGAGAUCAUUGCAAAUAGCUAUAGUGCAAGCGUAUAACAAUCGAUUAAAAGAACGCAUGAGAAGAAGAAAAAUCAUACGCGACCAUGGUCUAAUAGCUUUUAGAAGAACUAUAUCGUGGAUCCAAAGAUACGAAUUUACGAUAACCAGGACACUUGCCGAGAGAUUAUUAAUUUUCAUGCAAUUGUUGGGAGGUAUAGAGUUUGACUAUUUUAUGGAAGGAUUACAUCGUACCGGGGAACUUAAAAAUUAUUUGAAUAAAUUGUUCGAGUUUCGCAGUAAUGGUUUAAAGCACUUUCACAGUGUUGUAAUGUUUCAAAAGUUGAGUAAACUUAGACAAGAGAAUGAGAGGGAAAGAAAGCAAUACUUGAAUAAUCCCGAAUACAGUUGGAAGUCUAUAUUGCCUGGUUGCAAUAUUAAUGCUAAUACUUCCGUGUCAACUACAAUCUCGCAACGAAAAACGGCUCCGCCCCUUAUUAUUAAAGGUCUCCCGGGGUACGAGAAACUUACCUCGGCUGAAAAAGAACUUUGUUCGGUUACGCGCAUAGUACCUGCUAAUUACCUCGAUUUUAAGCAACUUCUGAUAGGGGAGAAUAAAAAGAAUGGUUAUCUAAGGUUGGCGCAAGCCAGGGUUUUGCUAAAAAUUGACGUUAAUAAAACGCGUAAAAUAUAUGAUUUCCUCACAGAAAAAGGAUAUAUAAAUAAACCAAAUCAAUGACGUAUACAUCGAUAAUAUAACAGUUGACAUUUGUAUAAAAUCUUUGUAUUUUAUAAGUACUGCCGGAAUUGUGAUAUUACGUAUUAAGACUUAUUUCUAAAAUUCUUAAGCAGGUUUGAGAAUUGAGAAAAUCGACUGAAAAUAAAAAUUUGAAAAUGCAGAGACCUUGUUAAUCUCUGAGGUAUCUAUGUUAUUGGAGCAUAGAAAAGCGCAAAAUGAGUCCGCGGAAGAGGAACAAGAAUUCUCUGAAGUUUUCAUGAAGAGUUUGACGUACACAAAUCGAUUCC